GGGUUGUGAGGUUAAGCGACUAAGCGUACACGGUGGAUGCCCUGGCAGUCAGAGGCGAUGAAGGGCGUGCUAAUCUGCGAUAAGCGCCGGUAAGGUGAUAUGAACCGUUAUAACCGGCGAUACCCGAAUGGGGAAACCCAGUGUGACUCGUCACACUAUCAUUAACUGAAUCCAUAGGUUAAUGAGGCGAACCGGGGGAACUGAAACAUCUAAGUACCCCGAGGAAAAGAAAUCAACCGAGAUUCCCCCAGUAGCGGCGAGCGAACGGGGAGGAGCCCAGAGCCUGAAUCAGCAUGUGUGUUAGUGGAAGCGUCUGGAAAGGCGCGCGAUACAGGGUGACAGCCCCGUACACAAAAGCGCAUGUGCUGUGAGCUCGAUGAGUAGGGCGGGACACGUGGUAUCCUGUCUGAAUAUGGGGGGACCAUCCUCCAAGGCUAAAUACUCCUGACUGACCGAUAGUGAACCAGUACCGUGAGGGAAAGGCGAAAAGAACCCCGGCGAGGGGAGUGAAAAAGAACCUGAAACCGUGUACGUACAAGCAGUGGGAGCACCCUUGGGGUGUGACUGCGUACCUUUUGUAUAAUGGGUCAGCGACUUAUAUUCUGUAGCAAGGUUAACCGAAUAGGGGAGCCGGAGGGAAACCGAGUCUUAAUUGGGCGUUAAGUUGCAGGGUAUAGACCCGAAACCCGGUGAUCUAGCCAUGGGCAGGUUGAAGGUUGGGUAACACUAACUGGAGGACCGAACCGACUAAUGUUGAAAAAUUAGCGGAUGACCUGUGGCU
RNAcentral lists this ribosomal RNA (781 nucleotides) under Salmonella enterica subsp. enterica. Its description in RNAcentral is "bacterial LSU rRNA". It matches the Rfam family "Bacterial large subunit ribosomal RNA", at positions 1 to 816 of the family's 2925-position model. Lineage: Bacteria; Pseudomonadati; Pseudomonadota; Gammaproteobacteria; Enterobacterales; Enterobacteriaceae. The record is from RNAcentral.